This 465-nucleotide ribosomal RNA is filed under the name uncultured bacterium. Its description in RNAcentral is "partial 16S ribosomal RNA". It matches the Rfam family "Bacterial small subunit ribosomal RNA", at positions 338 to 795 of the family's 1533-position model. The record is from RNAcentral.
CCUACGGGAGGCAGCAGUGGGGAAUAUUGCGCAAUGGGCGAAAGCCUGACGCAGCGACGCCGCGUGAGGGAUGAAAGUCUUCGGAUCGUAAACCUCUGUCAGCAGGGAAGAACGGUCACUGUGCUAAUCAGCAGUGAAUUGACGGUACCUGCAAAGGAAGCACCGGCUAACUCCGUGCCAGCAGCCGCGGUGAUACGGAGGGUGCGAGCGUUAAUCGGAAUUACUGGGCGUAAAGCGCUCGUAGGCGGUAUGUCAAGUCAAGGGUGAAAUCCCCGCGCUCAACGUGGGAACUGCCUUUGAAACUGGCAAACUGGAGUGUGUGAGAGGAUAGUGGAAGUCCAGGUGUAGGAGUGAAAUGCGUAGAUAUCUGGAGGAACAUCAGUGGCGAAGGCGACUAUCUGGCACAUAACUGACGCUGAGGAGCGAAAGCGUGGGUAGCAAACAGGAUUAGAUACCCCUGUAGUC